UACGGAGGAUGCGAGCGUUAUCCGGAUUUAUUGGGUUUAAAGGGUGCGUAGGCGGGCUUUUAAGUCAGCGGUAAAAAUUCGGGGCUCAACCCCGUCCCGCCGUUGAAACUGGGGGCCUUGAGUGGGCGAGAAGAAGGCGGAAUGCGUGGUGUAGCGGUGAAAUGCAUAGAUAUCACGCAGAACCCCGAUUGCGAAGGCAGCCUUCCGGCGCCCUACUGACGCUGAGGCACGAAAGUGCGGGGAUCGAACAGG
RNAcentral lists this ribosomal RNA (252 nucleotides) under uncultured bacterium. RNAcentral describes it as "partial 16S ribosomal RNA". It matches the Rfam family "Bacterial small subunit ribosomal RNA", at positions 524 to 776 of the family's 1533-position model. The record is from RNAcentral.